Long non-coding RNA from Lampris incognitus (smalleye Pacific opah), 257 nucleotides. RefSeq lists it as uncharacterized. Lineage: Eukaryota; Metazoa; Chordata; Actinopteri; Lampriformes; Lampridae. The transcript is spliced from 3 exons. The record is from RefSeq and is a predicted model, not a curated record.
CCUGAGCACCUUGAGGGCCUUGCGCUCUGUGUCCAAAGGCACCCGCUCGAUCUGCAGCUCCAGAAGUUAUGCAGUCGAGAUUCCCACAUUUGGGGAAUUCGUAGGGGUCAGCACAACCGGAGCACAAUGGUCAAGCCUCGCCCUGGGUGAACCACCUUCUUGAUCAUGGUACCUCCCCUGCCAGAUGCACUCUAGGUUUGGGUUGCUGGCAAAGGAGCUGUCCUGCAGGCAUCGAUCGACCUCAUCAUGCCAGUGCC